GGGAUGCCCACAGCAGAUCCCUCCGGGGCGGCCUGUGGACACAGCCCAUGGUGUGACCUCCACAGCAGUUCAGCUCUGACCUCGGAGAGCCGGCGACGUGUGGAAACAGCCAGAUGCCAUUCGGAGCCAAGCCCAGUGGGGAUGCUGCAGGAGCCAAGCCAGGUCAUCCAUCCAAGUGACCACAGAACCGUGACACCCAUCUGCCCCCGUACCAUUCCUCGCUUAGAGAAAGUUCCAGAAGAGAGGCUCCAAACCUGUUUCCCGUGGUGGUGACAUCACUAGGAGUUGCUCCAGGAUCUAGAAUAUGCAUAUUCAACUUAUCACAGUCUAUCUUCAAAUUUAUACCCCUUCACAUAUUAUGAUCUGACACUAUCCGAGCGGCAGUCGGAGGCACGUGUCUGUGCGUGGCCUCCCAGGACGGCUUCCCGGCAGAGCGCGCAGAAAUCCUCUCCAGGGCCCGGGGCUGGUUCCUCCGGGCCUCCCCGCCCACUCCGCCCACCCACUAAGGGCGCAUCUCCGUGAACACUGAGGACAAAGACAUGCGGCUUCUACUGCGUCUCCUUCCCAGUCACGCAUUUCUUUUCUUUUUCUUUUUUACUUUUUAAU
Molecule: long non-coding RNA, 606 nt
Organism: Myotis davidii
Lineage: Eukaryota; Metazoa; Chordata; Mammalia; Chiroptera; Vespertilionidae
Exons: 3
Source: RefSeq, a predicted model, not a curated record